This 85-nucleotide transfer RNA is filed under the name Felis catus (domestic cat). It matches the Rfam family "tRNA". From Rfam's summary of the family: Transfer RNA (tRNA) molecules are approximately 80 nucleotides in length. Their secondary structure includes four short double-helical elements and three loops (D, anti-codon, and T loops). The record is from Rfam by way of RNAcentral. RNAcentral also lists the same sequence under 2 other names. Lineage: Eukaryota; Metazoa; Chordata; Mammalia; Carnivora; Felidae.
GCCUGGGUGGCUCAGUCAGUUGAGCGACUGACUUCAGCUCAGGUCAUGACUUCACGGAUUGUGGGUUCAAGCCCCACAUCAGGCU